AGCACGUUAUGGUGGGCGACUCUAAGGAGACUGCCGGUGACAAACCGGAGGAAGGUGGGGAUGACGUCAAGUCAUCAUGGCCCUUACGGCCUGGGCUACACACGUGCUACAAUGGUCGGUACAAAGGGUUGCCUAGCCGCGAGGUGGAGCUAAUCCCAUAAAACCGAUCGUAGUCCGGAUCGCAGUCUGCAACUCGACUGCGUGAAGUCGGAAUCGCUAGUAGUCGUGAAUCAGAAUGUCACGGUGAAUACGUUCCCGGGCCUU
Molecule: ribosomal RNA, 264 nt
Filed under: uncultured Pseudomonas sp.
Lineage: Bacteria; Pseudomonadati; Pseudomonadota; Gammaproteobacteria; Pseudomonadales; Pseudomonadaceae
Description: partial 16S ribosomal RNA
Rfam family: Bacterial small subunit ribosomal RNA
Source: RNAcentral